AUUGAACGCUGGCGGCAUGCCUUACACAUGCAAGUCGAACGGCAGCACGGGAGCAAUCCUGGUGGCGAGUGGCGAACAGGUGAGUAAUAUAUCGGAACGUGCCCAGUCGUGGGGGAUAACGUAGCGAAAGCUACGCUAAUACCGCAUACGAUCUAAGGAUGAAAGCGGGGGAUCGCAAGACCUCGCGCGAUUGGAGCGGCCGAUAUCAGAUUAGGUAGUUGGUGAGGUAAAGGCUCACCAAGCCGACGAUCUGUAGCUGGUCUGAGAGGACGACCAGCCACACUGGGACUGAGACACGGCCCAGACUCCUACGGGAGGCAGCAGUGGGGAAUUUUGGACAAUGGGCGCAAGCCUGAUCCAGCAAUGCCGCGUGCAGGAUGAAGGCCUCGGUUGUAAC
RNAcentral lists this ribosomal RNA (397 nucleotides) under uncultured bacterium. Its description in RNAcentral is "bacterial SSU rRNA". It matches the Rfam family "Bacterial small subunit ribosomal RNA", at positions 30 to 429 of the family's 1533-position model. The record is from RNAcentral.